UACGUAGGUUGCAAGCGUUGUCCGGAAUUAUUGGGCGUAAAGAGCUCGUAGGCGGUCUGUCGCGUCUGCUGUGAAAACUCGGGGCUUAACCCCGGGCCUGCAGUGGGUACGGGCAGACUAGAGUGCGGUAGGGGAGACUGGAAUUCCUGGUGUAGCGGUGAAAUGCGCAGAUAUCAGGAGGAACACCGGUGGCGAAGGCGGGUCUCUGGGCCGUAACUGACGCUGAGGAGCGAAAGCAUGGGGAGCGAACAGG
This 253-nucleotide ribosomal RNA is filed under the name uncultured bacterium. RNAcentral's name for it is "partial 16S ribosomal RNA". It matches the Rfam family "Bacterial small subunit ribosomal RNA", at positions 524 to 776 of the family's 1533-position model. The record is from RNAcentral.